RNAcentral lists this ribosomal RNA (466 nucleotides) under uncultured bacterium. Its description in RNAcentral is "partial 16S ribosomal RNA". It matches the Rfam family "Bacterial small subunit ribosomal RNA", at positions 28 to 523 of the family's 1533-position model. The record is from RNAcentral.
GAUGAACGCUGGCGGCGUGGAUAAGGCAUGCAAGUCGAACGCCCUAGUUUACUAGGGAGUGGCAAACGGGAGAGUAACACACUGGUAAUCUACCCCGGAGACGGGAAUAACUCGGUGAAAACCGAGCUAAUACCCGAUGUGAGUGAGUGUCACAAGACAUUUACUUAAAACUCCGGUGCUUCGGGAGGAGCCUAUGGCCUAUCAGCUUGUUGGUGGGGUAAUGGCCCACCAAGGCGACGAUCAGUAGCUGGUCUGAGAGGAUGAUCAGCCACAUUGGGACUGAGACACGGCCCAAACUCCUACGGGAGGCAGCAGUGGGGAAUAUUGGACAAUGGGCGCAAGCCUGAUCCAGCCAUGCCGCGUGAGUGAUGAAGGCCUUAGGGUUGUAAAGCUCUUUCGUCCGGGACGAUAAUGACGGUACCGGAAGAAGAAGCCCCGGCUAACUUCGUGCCAGCCGCCGCGGUAA